Molecule: ribosomal RNA, 450 nt
Filed under: uncultured bacterium
Lineage: Bacteria
Description: bacterial SSU rRNA
Rfam family: Bacterial small subunit ribosomal RNA
Source: RNAcentral
GUGGGGAAUAUUGGACAAUGGGCGAAAGCCUGAUCCAGCCAUGCCGCGUGUGUGAAGAAGGUCUUCGGAUUGUAAAGCACUUUAAGUUGGGAGGAAGGGCAGUAAGUUAAUACCUUGCUGUUUUGACGUUACCGACAGAAUAAGCACCGGCUAACUUCGUGCCAGCAGCCGCGGUAAUACGAAGGGUGCAAGCGUUAAUCGGAAUUACUGGGCGUAAAGCGCGCGUAGGUGGUUUUGUAAGUUGGAGGUGAAAUCCCCGGGCUCAACCUGGGAACUGCCUCCAAAACUGCAUGACUAGAGUACGGUAGAGGGUAGUGGAAUUUCCUGUGUAGCGGUGAAAUGCGUAGAUAUAGGAAGGAGCACCAGUGGCGAAGGCGACUACCUGGACUGAUACUGACACUGAGGUGCGAAAGCGUGGGGAGCAAACAGGAUUAGAAACCCGUGUAGUCC